GUACACGCUGUGACUAGCAUAUCAAUAAGCGGAGGAAAAGAAACUAACAAGGAUUCCCCUAGCUAACGGCGAGUGAAGCGGGAAGAGCUCAAAUUUGAAAUCUUAAAGGGUUUCCCUUUACGAAUUGUAGUUUAAAGAAGUGUUUUCUGUUGAGGUUUUGGUAAAAGUUCUUUGGAAUAGGACAUCAUAGAGGGUGAGAAUCCCGUAUUUGACCUUUACUUUCAACUUUGUGAUACACUUUCAAAGAGUCGGAUUGUUUGGGUAAUGCAGUCCAAAAUGGGUGGUAAAUUUCAUCUAAAGCUAAAUAUUGGCGAGAGACCGAUAGCGAACAAGUACCGUGAGGGAAAGAUGAAAAGAACUUUGAAAAGAGAGUUAAACAGUACGUGAAAUUGUCAAAAGGGAAGCGUUUGACAGCCAGUGUUGUUUUUCUGAAAAUCAAUUAAAGAACUGUUUAUGCUAAGUUGUUUAGACUUUAUCAGCUAUCUGUUUAGUUUUGAGCUUUUCUUUAAUGCACUUUUCAGUUAACAAGUCAACAUCAGUUUCUUUUGCUGUAAAAAAGCUUGAGGAAGGUGGCUUGAGAUUCGUCUUAAGUGUUUAUAGCCUCUUGCCUAUGCAGUCGGAGAGAUUGAGGUCUGCAGCGUAGAUCCUUCGGGGCUAAAUGCAUUUGUGCUAAGUUAUAGCAUUUCAUAGACAACUUGUUGACUAUGAUUUGUCUUGUAGCUUACUCGCUUAUGUUAUUUUACCUACGCUUAGGAUGUUGACGAGACUGUCGAUCUC
Molecule: ribosomal RNA, 777 nt
Filed under: uncultured Neocallimastigales
Lineage: Eukaryota; Fungi; Neocallimastigomycota; Neocallimastigomycetes; Neocallimastigales
Description: partial large subunit ribosomal RNA
Rfam family: Eukaryotic large subunit ribosomal RNA
Source: RNAcentral